RNAcentral lists this ribosomal RNA (253 nucleotides) under uncultured bacterium. Its description in RNAcentral is "partial 16S ribosomal RNA". It matches the Rfam family "Bacterial small subunit ribosomal RNA", at positions 524 to 776 of the family's 1533-position model. The record is from RNAcentral.
UACGUAGGGGGCUAGCGUUAUCCGGAAUUACUGGGCGUAAAGCGUGCGUAGACGGUUAUGUAAGUCGGGUGUGAAAGCCCCGGGCUCAACCCGGGAACUGCGUCCGAUACUGGAAGGCUUGAAUCCGGGAGAGGGAUGCGGAAUUCCAGGUGUAGCGGUGAAAUGCGUAGAUAUCUGGAGGAACACCGGUGGCGAAGGCGGCAUCCUGGACCGGCAUUGACGCUGAGGCGCGAAAGCCAGGGGAGCAAACGGG